AACCUCCGCAAUGUGAGAAAUCGCGACGGGGGGAUCCCAAGUGCCAUUCUUAACGGGAUGGCUUUUCAUUAGUGUAAAGAGCUUUUGGAAUAAGAGCUGGGCAAGACCGGUGCCAGCCGCCGCGGUAACACCGGCAGCUCUAGUGGUAACAAUUUUUAUUGGGCCUAAAGCGUCCGUAGCCGGUUUAAUAAGUCUCUGGUGAAAUCCUGUAGCUUAACUGUGGGAAUUGCUGGAGAUACUAUUAGACUUGAGACCGGGAGAGGUUGGAGGUACUCCCAGGGUAGAGGUGAAAUUCUGUAAUCCUGGGAGGACCGCCUGUUGCGAAGGCGUCCAACUGGAACGGCUCUGACGGUGAGGGACGAAAGUUAGGGGCGCGAACCGGAUUAGAUACCCGGGUAGUCCUAACUGUAAACGAUGCGGACUUGGUGUUGGGGUGGCUUUGAGCUGCUCCAGUGCCGAAGGGAGCUGUUAAGUCCGCCGCCUGGGAAGUACGGUCGCAAGACUGAAACUUAAAGGAAGU
This 520-nucleotide ribosomal RNA is filed under the name uncultured bacterium. RNAcentral's name for it is "bacterial SSU rRNA". It matches the Rfam family "Archaeal small subunit ribosomal RNA", at positions 345 to 866 of the family's 1478-position model. The record is from RNAcentral.